UCCCCGGUAGCUCAGCGGCAGAGCGGGUGGCUGUUAACCACUAGGUCGUAAGUUCGAAUCUUACUCGGGGAG
This 72-nucleotide transfer RNA is filed under the name bacterium. Its description in RNAcentral is "tRNA-Asn". It matches the Rfam family "tRNA". From Rfam's summary of the family: Transfer RNA (tRNA) molecules are approximately 80 nucleotides in length. Their secondary structure includes four short double-helical elements and three loops (D, anti-codon, and T loops). RNAcentral also lists the same sequence under 2 other names. The record is from RNAcentral.